Molecule: ribosomal RNA, 760 nt
Filed under: Prevotella nigrescens
Lineage: Bacteria; Pseudomonadati; Bacteroidota; Bacteroidia; Bacteroidales; Prevotellaceae
Description: bacterial SSU rRNA
Rfam family: Bacterial small subunit ribosomal RNA
Source: RNAcentral
GAUGAACGCUGGCUACAGGCUUAACACAUGCAAGUCGAGGGGAAACGACGGGGAAGCUUGCUUCCUCGGGCGUCGACCGGCGCACGGGUGAGUAACGCGUAUCCAACCUGCCUCUGACUGAGGGAUAACCCGUCGAAAGUCGGCCUAAUACCUCAUGGCAUCGUCUGCGGGCAUCCAACGACGAUUAAAGAUUUCAUCGGUCAGGGAUGGGGAUGCGUCUGAUUAGCUUGUUGGCGGGGCAACGGCCCACCAAGGCGACGAUCAGUAGGGGUUCUGAGAGGAAGGUCCCCCACAUUGGAACUGAGACACGGUCCAAACUCCUACGGGAGGCAGCAGUGAGGAAUAUUGGUCAAUGGACGCAAGUCUGAACCAGCCAAGUAGCGUGCAGGAUGACGGCCCUAUGGGUUGUAAACUGCUUUUAUGUGGGAAUAAAGUGGCGCACGUGUGCGCCAUUGCAUGUACCUCAUGAAUAAGGACCGGCUAAUUCCGUGCCAGCAGCCGCGGUAAUACGGAAGGUCCGGGCGUUAUCCGGAUUUAUUGGGUUUAAAGGGAGUGUAGGCGGUCUGUUAAGCGUGUUGUGAAAUUUAGGUGCUCAACAUUUAACUUGCAGCGCGAACUGUCAGACUUGAGUACACGCAGCGCAGGCGGAAUUCAUGGUGUAGCGGUGAAAUGCUUAGAUAUCAUGAGGAACUCCGAUCGCGAAGGCAGCCUGCGGGAGUGUUACUGACGCUUAAGCUCGAAGGUGCGGGUAUCGAACAGG